GCGCCUGUAGCUCAGGGGGAGAGUGCCUGCUUGACACGCAGGAGGUCGGAGGUUCAAAACCUCCCGGGCGCACCA
This 75-nucleotide transfer RNA is filed under the name Bacillota bacterium. Its description in RNAcentral is "Firmicutes bacterium (anaerobic digester metagenome) tRNA-Val". It matches the Rfam family "tRNA". From Rfam's summary of the family: Transfer RNA (tRNA) molecules are approximately 80 nucleotides in length. Their secondary structure includes four short double-helical elements and three loops (D, anti-codon, and T loops). Lineage: Bacteria; Bacillati; Bacillota. The record is from RNAcentral.